AUGCUUGCUUCAGCAGCCCAUAUACUAAAAUGGGAUUGAAUGGGAGAGAAGAUUAGCAUGGGCCCAACAUAAGGAUGACAUGCAAAUUCGUGAAGCUAAAGUUUU
Small nuclear RNA from Otolemur garnettii (small-eared galago), 105 nucleotides. The record is from Ensembl. Lineage: Eukaryota; Metazoa; Chordata; Mammalia; Primates; Galagidae.